Hylaeus anthracinus is the source of this 1861-nucleotide long non-coding RNA. RefSeq lists it as uncharacterized. NCBI's taxonomy places the organism in Eukaryota, Metazoa, Arthropoda, Insecta, Hymenoptera, Colletidae. The transcript has 3 exons. The record is from RefSeq and is a predicted model, not a curated record.
CCUAAUACCAACACUUAAAUCGUUCAAUCUCUGAGUUAUCUGGAAGCAUUGCAGCAGCGAAACGUCGAGAGCCACCGCUAAUGACUCCGACAAAGGUGUAAUUUCUGCCCGGCGGAAAAAAAAUCCAUAUUUCUUCGAUGACGAAGACAUCACUUGGCCGAAAGGAAGGACAGAAAACAUUUCCACCCUCCUAGAGUGUACUCACGGAGAAAUGGUACGAGCAUUCCAUCUUGAGCUAAAACCGUGCUGCACGUCAGAGCGUUGCGCGUCUGUAUGUGUGGGUGAGGGCUAUAGGGUGGCAGGGUGUUUGGAAGACGAAGAGGACCACGGAGUUUCGGAACACCGCAUCACUCUGCUCUGUUGCCAACCCAGGAAAGGGUUGCACUGUUACUUCUACAUGGAUUGUACCUGGUGAACAUGUCAACUGGAAAAGGCAAUUGGGCUCGCCACCCUAAACAUGUCUGUCUUACCGAGCUAUUGGAGGAAGUAUGAAGGAUAUUCGAGCGCUGUAGGUGGUGUGCUGAAGGAGGAAUGUCAACUGUUUGGGAAUGUAUUCUUAGAAUGGCUGCUUCUACGUCAUAUUGUAACUUAUAGAUUCCACUCUUACUUCGACAUGAUUCGCAUCUCGACUAAACAUCAUAAACAUCUUCAAACCAAACGGCAGACCUCGCUGGCGAAGAACAAACAAGAAACAACCCACGACCGCCUCUUUUAAUCACCCUUGAGAACCAAGUGAUCCCAUUGACGAGCGACCGUAGCCGAAGGAAGAUAUCCACAACGAUACGCCGGGUACCCAAUAUCAGUAAUUCAUCCGUGGCAGUUUCACGAAGUUUCUCGGGUCACCCUCCGUCGUCCAUAAAGCGUUCCUCUUGUCUCCAUCGCGUAGAAGGAACGACCGGACGGAAUAGUGCGCGAGGCCGUGUCGCGCGGUGGAGUGGGAUGCUUGAAUUAGGAGAAGGACGGAGGCAUAGACACGCCGGAUGUGCCGGUACGAGAGAACGAACAGGAGACUGGAAACGGGACAGGAUGAGGGAGACGGAGGGUGAACAGGCGCAUCCCCUCAUGGCGAUACAUACGCACCCCAAUAUCGCCCCCGGGCCGUGCAAUCACGGCAUACAGAGAAUGGGAUGAGAUCCAGCCUGAAAAGGAGGGGGGUCGGUGGCGGUGGUCGAAAGGGGAUGGAGGUCGAGGGGGGUGAAGCUCGCCCACCCACCAACCCCCGACCCCGGUGCCGCCAAUUGUGCGUCGUUGACAGGCCUGCAUCGGGGAAAAACUUAUUGUUGCGCGCGGAAAACCAAAGAGAACGCUUUCCCCAAGGGAGACCCUAGCACCAAAGUUGCGGAUUAAAUGCCUCGCGAUAGGGGUGAGGAUGUCUCCCCGACUUCUUUCCCCGUUCCUUUUCGGAUCGCGUGAUUCCUCUCCCUGCCACUUGAUGCACUAUUUAUGUCCGAAUUAUUCCGCUGAAAAGGACGAUCGACUUUACGGCCUCGAGCCGAGAAGACAGGGUUCGCGGUCGGUUUGAAGAGAAGGGAAGAAAGCUGAGCUCCUGUUCUUUUUACGCGCUGAUGAUUGGAGAGUGGUACUGUCGCUCGAAAGUCUUUGAAUACCUGCUGUGUUUAAUACUAGAUUUACGGAACACGGUCAUUUUGAUCCAUUCCUAAUUUCUCAAGAAAAGCUACAGAAAACAUUUCUUUCCAACCACUUUUGCUGUAAUAAACGUAAACGUGAUCAAUGCUUUUUAAAAAGUAAACAAGAAAAAAUAAAGAGCGCAGUGAAGUUACUAAGAUCCUCCGUAAACCUAGUGUUAAUAUUUAAUAAUAGUGUCUAAGAAUGUCUUCUUUCCUGUCAAUCAGUCAUCCCA